RNAcentral lists this ribosomal RNA (254 nucleotides) under uncultured bacterium. RNAcentral's name for it is "partial 16S ribosomal RNA". It matches the Rfam family "Bacterial small subunit ribosomal RNA", at positions 524 to 776 of the family's 1533-position model. The record is from RNAcentral.
UACGUAGGGGGCGAGCGUUGUCCGGAAUCAUUGGGCGUAAAGAGCUCGUAGGCGGUUCAGCAAGUCGGCUGUGAAAUUCCGAGGCUCAACCUCGGAACUGCAGUCGAUACUGCUGUGACUCGAGUCCGGUAGAGGAGAAUGGAAUUCCCGGUGUAGCGGUGAAAUGCGCAGAUAUCAGGAGGAACACCAAUGGCGAAGGCAGCACUCUGGGACGUGACUGACGCUGAGACGCGAAAGCUAGGGGAGCAAACGGG